UUAUCAUCCUGCCAUUUAAUUAAAAAAAAAGAAACAGUCGGCCACGCUUGCCACAAAAAUCAUUCCGGGGGAUUAAUCACAUAUUUCCCCCAUUUAUUUUAUUCUAAUAUUGCUGUUUUUUACGUUAUACACAAACAUACACGUAGCGAUUCAAAAUUAAAUAUGGCUGAUUUGGACGAUUUCUUCGCGAAAAAAGAUCGCAAGAAGUCAAAGUCGGUCAAAAAGUUUGCGACGGCAGAUGAACUUACGAAAAAAUUGGACGACGGCAAACAGAAAACGGAUGUGAGACCUAAGAAGGAACGACCGGCACAAGAAGGCGAAGAGACUGGACGAGGACCGGAAGAGGAAGAAUGGAAGGAGUACGAGGAGCCAGUCAAGGACUACACAGGGCUCAAGAUCCAAGUGCUGCAGGGCAGCGCGGGUGUGCAAGAGUCGGGAAGGGACUCCUCCGCAGAGGACUCAAUGCCCGAUAACCCUAAGAACAAGGGACCAUGGAAUAAACCUCAAGUGGAAACGGAACAAGCGCCGGCCGCUAGGCCUCCGCCCCCGCCGGUGGAGGAGGUGAAGCCCCGCGCGCCCACCGCGUACGUGCCGCCCGUGGCGCGCAACCGGCCCUGCGACGGGCCCGUGCGUAGGACGCAGAACAAGAACCCGCUGGACAUCCACAACGAGGACUACUUCCCGGUGCUCGGCGCGGGGGCGAAGCGCGGCGGCGGCUGGAGCACCGCGGGCACGGGCGGCGCCGGCGGCACGCACACGCGCCCCGCAGCGCACGCGCAGCCCCUCGCGCUCGGCAACCGCUUCACCUCGCUGCAGGACGACAGCUAGCCAGGUGACACACACACCAACCGCUUCACCUCGCUGCAGGACGACAGCUAGCCAGGUCACAGAAGGCAGUUCCGCAACGAUAAAUAUUAAAGUGAAGUGUCAUUAUGGACUUUAAGCAAGCCUGGCAUAGCGAUUCCCACAUUAUACAUAGCAUACAAACUGCGCACUUCCAGUGUUAUCAACUCUGUUAAAUAUAUAUCCUCGACGGUUGCUGACCUCAUUUCCACCGUGCGACAGUUUUGUCACAAAAAAAAAAGAAAAAAUACACGAAAGUCAGUGUGGGCUACGCCUCAUUAUUGCUCAUAUAUUAUCUGUGCAAAAAUCGGCCAGUACCUAUGUUCCAGUCAUAGACAAUAAAUAUUCCAUAUUCAGUGUUGCUAGCUAAAAUAUUAAUAAAAAUGGCGACUGUCAAAAAAAAUCGAAAAACCCGAAAACGGAAGUGUGCCUUUAAGUUUGUUACUUUUUUAUGUUUAUAUUUAAAAAGUAAUUAAUACAGUGUCAUGAUUGUUGCGUGGAUGAGGGAAUUUCGAUGAAUUAUAAAAUGGCGGAUUUUUAGUGUUAAAGCGUGGGUCGACUGCGCGGAAAUUGUUUGAUAGAAAGAUUGAAAAUCCGAUAUAUUAUUAUGAAAUAGUUUGGUUGGCUACCUCUGUAUGUUGAACAGUAAAAAUGUUUAUAAACUUGUCGGCAAAUCAUUCAGAACAUGUACCAUAGAAAUAAAUUAUGUAUUUAA
This is an RNA transcript of Colias croceus (clouded yellow), 1558 nucleotides long. It is a transcript of the gene named protein CDV3 homolog, with no coding region annotated. The transcript is spliced from 6 exons. NCBI's taxonomy places the organism in Eukaryota, Metazoa, Arthropoda, Insecta, Lepidoptera, Pieridae. The record is from RefSeq and is a predicted model, not a curated record.